This 253-nucleotide ribosomal RNA is filed under the name uncultured bacterium. RNAcentral's name for it is "partial 16S ribosomal RNA". It matches the Rfam family "Bacterial small subunit ribosomal RNA", at positions 524 to 776 of the family's 1533-position model. The record is from RNAcentral.
UACGUAGGGCGCGAGCGUUGUCCGGAUUUAUUGGGCGUAAAGAGCUCGUAGGCGGCUUGUCGCGUCGAAUGUGAAAUCUCAGGGCUCAACUCUGACAUUGCAUUCGAUACGGGCAGGCUUGAGUUCGGUAGGGGAGACCGGAAUUCCUGGUGUAGCGGUGAAAUGCGCAGAUAUCAGGAGGAACACCGGUGGCGAAGGCGGGUCUCUGGGCCGAUACUGACGCUGAGGAGCGAAAGCGUGGGGAGCGAACAGG